RNAcentral lists this ribosomal RNA (323 nucleotides) under uncultured eukaryote. RNAcentral's name for it is "partial 18S ribosomal RNA". It matches the Rfam family "Eukaryotic small subunit ribosomal RNA", at positions 1470 to 1796 of the family's 1831-position model. The record is from RNAcentral.
CCCUUAGAUGUUCUGGGCCGCACGCGCGCUACACUGGUGCAUGCAACGAGUUCUAUCCUUGGCCGGAAGGCCUGGGUAAUCUGUGAACGUGCAUCGUGAUAGGGAUAGAUUAUUGCAAUUAUUAAUCUUGAACGAGGAAUUCCUAGUAAACGCAAGUCAUCAGCUUGCAUUGAUUACGUCCCUGCCCUUUGUACACACCGCCCGUCGCACCUACCGAUCGAAGGUAAUGAUGAGCCCUCAGGAUUGUGGCCUCGUCGCGUCAGCGUCUUGGCUGCGAGAAUCUGUGCAAAUCCCUACCUUUAGAGGAAGGUGAAGUCGUAACA